RNAcentral lists this ribosomal RNA (468 nucleotides) under uncultured bacterium. RNAcentral describes it as "bacterial SSU rRNA". It matches the Rfam family "Bacterial small subunit ribosomal RNA", at positions 328 to 793 of the family's 1533-position model. The record is from RNAcentral.
UUGCCAGACUCCUACGGGAGGCAGCAGUGAGGAAUAUUGGUCAAUGGGCUUACGCCUGAACCAGCCAAGUCGCGUGAGGGAAGACUGCCCUAUGGGUUGUAAACCUCUUUUGUCAGGGAGCAACGCCGGCUACGUGUAGCCGGACUGAGAGUACCUGAAGAAAAAGCAUCGGCUAACUCCGUGCCAGCAGCCGCGGUAAUACGGAGGAUGCGUGCGUUAUCCGGAUUUAUUGGGUUUAAAGGGUGCGUAGGCGGAAUGCCAAGUCAGCGGUAAAAUCGCGGGGCUCAACCUCGCUCCGCCGUUGAAACUGGCGUUCUUGAGUGGGCGAGAAGUAUGCGGAAUGCGUGGUGUAGCGGUGAAAUGCAUAGAUAUCACGCAGAACUCCGAUUGCGAAGGCAGCAUACCAAACUACGACUGACGUUGAGGCACGAAAGCGUGGGGAGCAAACAGGAUUAGAUACCCUUGUAA